GCAGUGGUGGUUCGGUGGUAGGAUUCUCGCCUCGCAUGCAGGAGACCUGGGUUCGAUUCCCAGCCAGUGCA
Loxodonta africana (African savanna elephant) is the source of this 71-nucleotide transfer RNA. It matches the Rfam family "tRNA". Rfam says of the family: Transfer RNA (tRNA) molecules are approximately 80 nucleotides in length. Their secondary structure includes four short double-helical elements and three loops (D, anti-codon, and T loops). Further hydrogen bonds mediate the characteristic L-shaped molecular structure. tRNAs have two regions of fundamental functional importance: the anti-codon, which is responsible for specific mRNA codon recognition, and the 3' end, to which the tRNAs corresponding amino acid is attached (by aminoacyl-tRNA synthetases). tRNAs cope with the degeneracy of the genetic code in two manners: having more than one tRNA (with a specific anti-codon) for a particular amino acid; and 'wobble' base-pairing, i.e. permitting non-standard base-pairing at the 3rd anti-codon position. The record is from Rfam. NCBI's taxonomy places the organism in Eukaryota, Metazoa, Chordata, Mammalia, Proboscidea, Elephantidae.